Molecule: transfer RNA, 67 nt
Filed under: Rhynchocinetes durbanensis
Lineage: Eukaryota; Metazoa; Arthropoda; Malacostraca; Decapoda; Rhynchocinetidae
Description: tRNA-Met
Source: RNAcentral
GUAAUAGUAAGCUAAGUUUAAGCUAAUGGGCUCAUACCCCAUCCAUGAGAUUUUAUCUCCUAUUAUG